UGGUAAUUCAAGUUGCCGCGC
RNAcentral lists this non-coding RNA (21 nucleotides) under Caenorhabditis elegans. Lineage: Eukaryota; Metazoa; Nematoda; Chromadorea; Rhabditida; Rhabditidae. The record is from RNAcentral.